UUGCCUACGGGAGGCAGCAGUGGGGGGUAUUGCACAAUGGGGGAAACCCUGAUGCAGCGACGCCGCGUGGGCGAAGAAGUAUUUCGGUAUGUAAAGCCCUAUCAGCAGGGAAGAAGAAAUGACGGUACCGAAUGAAUAAGCCACGGCUAACUACGUGUCAGCAGCCGCGGUAAUACGUAUGGUGCAAGCGUUAUCCGGAUUUACUGGGUGUAAAGGGAGCGCAGGCGGCACGGCAAGCCUGAUGUGAAAGCCCGCGGCCCAACCGCGGGACUGCAUUGGGAACUACCGGGCUGGAGUGCCGGCGG
Molecule: ribosomal RNA, 305 nt
Filed under: uncultured bacterium
Lineage: Bacteria
Description: bacterial SSU rRNA
Rfam family: Bacterial small subunit ribosomal RNA
Source: RNAcentral